Hippoglossus stenolepis (Pacific halibut) is the source of this 389-nucleotide long non-coding RNA. RefSeq lists it as uncharacterized. Lineage: Eukaryota; Metazoa; Chordata; Actinopteri; Pleuronectiformes; Pleuronectidae. The record is from RefSeq and is a predicted model, not a curated record. The transcript is spliced from 3 exons.
GGUCCAGCAUGCUUUGCUCUGCACAAACCAAAACAGCUGCUGGAGCACGACAACACCACCUGAGGAAGAGGGAGCCCAGCCCCAGCUACUGGCACUUCUAGUUCUAAACCAUCAAAUACACAUUAUUCUUUUACAUUAUAACCACAACAUACAGACAUCAGGACAAGAAUACGAACUGACGAUCAAGACAAUCAACAGAGAGAAAGAAAGGCGGAUGCAACAAGUGGAGAAAGACAGAAAGAAAGAUGCUCAGAUACAGUGCCAGGAAAAGAGACCAGUCACUGUGGAUUGUCUGCGCAUGAAAGGAAGAAUUUUUGCUUGACAAAUCCCACAUCUACUGCAGGAAAAUUGAAAGAUCAUAGAGGAGAGACGGAGAGAGCCAAAUGUCA